AAGUAAUUAGUUUAUUAAAAUAAAUGUUUGUCAAACAUUAGAAGGAGUUUUUCAUUACU
This 59-nucleotide transfer RNA is filed under the name Anatoecus icterodes. RNAcentral's name for it is "tRNA-Asp". The record is from RNAcentral. Lineage: Eukaryota; Metazoa; Arthropoda; Insecta; Psocodea; Philopteridae.